CUAUGUCAAAGUAAUUGAUAUGGCGGAAGGAG
RNAcentral lists this non-coding RNA (32 nucleotides) under unclassified sequences. The record is from RNAcentral.